RNAcentral lists this ribosomal RNA (380 nucleotides) under uncultured bacterium. RNAcentral's name for it is "bacterial SSU rRNA". It matches the Rfam family "Bacterial small subunit ribosomal RNA", at positions 30 to 410 of the family's 1533-position model. The record is from RNAcentral.
AUUGAACGCUGGCGGUAUGCUUAACACAUGCAAGUCGAACGGUAACAGGCCUUCGGGCGCUGACGAGUGGCGGACGGGUGAGUAACGCGUAGGAAUCUGCCUCAUAGUGGGGACAACGUGGGGAAACUCACGCUAAUACCGCAUACGCCUACGGGGAAAGCGGGGAGUCUUCGGACCUCGCGCUAUGAGAUGAGCCUGCGUUAGAUUAGCUAGUUGGUAGGGUAAAGGCCUACCAAGGCGACGAUCUAUAGCUGGUCUGAGAGGACGAUCAGCCACACUGGGACUGAGACACGGCCCAGACUCCUACGGGAGGCAGCAGUGGGGAAUAUUGGACCAAUGGGCGCAAAGCCCUUGAUCCAGCAAAUACCGCGUGUGUGAAG